This 253-nucleotide ribosomal RNA is filed under the name uncultured bacterium. RNAcentral's name for it is "partial 16S ribosomal RNA". It matches the Rfam family "Bacterial small subunit ribosomal RNA", at positions 524 to 776 of the family's 1533-position model. The record is from RNAcentral.
UACAGAGGCCUCGAGCGUUAGGCGGAAUCACUGGGCUUAAAGCGCGUGUAGGCGGAUCGUUAAGUACCUUGUGAAAUCCCACGGCUCAACCGUGGAACUGCUGGGUAUACUGGCGGUCUUGGGCCACUCAGGGGUUGCCGGAACAAACGGUGGAGCGGUGAAAUGCGCAGAUAUCGGGAGGAACACCGAUGGCGAAGGCAGCACUCUGGGCCGGCACUGACGCUGAGGAGCGAAAGCGUGGGGAGCGAACAGG